Apis dorsata (giant honeybee) is the source of this 388-nucleotide long non-coding RNA. RefSeq lists it as uncharacterized. NCBI's taxonomy places the organism in Eukaryota, Metazoa, Arthropoda, Insecta, Hymenoptera, Apidae. The record is from RefSeq and is a predicted model, not a curated record. The transcript has 2 exons.
AAAAAUUAUAGAACGAAUAGAAAAAAUAAAAAGGAAAUGACGAUACCCUGAGUGCUUCCGGUGAAUUCGAAUAAUCGACGGAUUGGCAUUUCCAACUAUAUUUUCGCAGCCAAGCUGCGUCCAAGCCUUCGUAGAACAGCCAGAAGCUGAGAAGUACUUGUACGGGUGAUGGUAUGAGGAACCAAUCUCUUGUUCGAGGAUCUGAAAAAUCAAAAAAUCAAAGAAUUAGAAUACAUAUAAAAUUUCGAAAGAAAAAAAAAUUGGAGAAUUAUUUCCCACCGGAUAGAUCGUAGAACACAUGAUGGUAAAAUCGAACCAUUGAGUUGUUGUAGAUAUUCGACAUCCUGUCGAUGUGAGGUGUGCUGCUGACAUUCAUUGAAAGUUUGAC